Molecule: ribosomal RNA, 513 nt
Filed under: uncultured bacterium
Lineage: Bacteria
Description: partial 16S ribosomal RNA
Rfam family: Bacterial small subunit ribosomal RNA
Source: RNAcentral
AUUGAACGCUGGCGGCAGGCUUAACACAUGCAAGUCGAGCGAACAGACGAGGAGCUUGCUCCUCUGACGUUAGCGGCGGACGGGUGAGUAACACGUGGAUAACCUACCUAUAAGACUGGGAUAACUUCGGGAAACCGGGGCUAAUACCGGAUAAUAUAUUGAACCGCAUGGUUCAAUAGUGAAAGACGGUUUUGCUGUCACUUAUAGAUGGAUCCGCGCCGCAUUAGCUAGUUGGUAAGGUAACGGCUUACCAAGGCAACGAUGCGUAGCCGACCUGAGAGGGUGAUCGGCCACACUGGAACUGAGACACGGUCCAGACUCCUACGGGAGGCAGCAGUAGGGAAUCUUCCGCAAUGGGCGAAAGCCUGACGGAGCAACGCCGCGUGAGUGAUGAAGGUCUUCGGAUCGUAAAACUCUGUUAUUAGGGAAGAACAAAUGUGUAAGUAACUAUGCACGUCUUGACGGUACCUAAUCAGAAAGCCACGGCUAACUACGUGCCAGCCGCCGCAGUAA